Long non-coding RNA from Oncorhynchus tshawytscha (Chinook salmon), 337 nucleotides. The record is from Ensembl. NCBI's taxonomy places the organism in Eukaryota, Metazoa, Chordata, Actinopteri, Salmoniformes, Salmonidae.
UCCAGGUAGACCCAUUGUCUCCCCCUCCAGGUAGACCCAUUGUCUCCUCCCCCAGGUAGACCCAUUGUCUCCCCCUCCAGGUAGACCCAUUGUCUCCUCCCCCAGGUAGACCCAUUGUCUCCCCCUCCAGGUAGACCCAUUGUCUCCCUCUCCAGGUAGACCCAUUGUCUCCUCCCCCAGGUAGACCCAUUGUCUCCUCCCCCAGGUAGACCCAUUGUCUCCUCCCCCAGGUAGACCCAUUGUCUCCUCCCCCAGGUAGACCCAUUGUCUCCCCCUCCAGGUAGACCCAUUGUCUCCCCCUCCAGGUAGACCCAUUGUCUCCUCCCCCAGGUAGACC